UGUGUAUGUAUGUCAAGGUGUGUGCUUGUGUCCCCUGUUGCGCCUUGUAAUUUUUCCCCAGUAAUUUUUUGUGGAUUUUGCUUCUUAUUUAGUUUUUUUGCCUUUGGGAAUUUUUCAGUUGGACAUUCAAAGUAAGUUUUUGUUGCCUUUCAUUUAGUUCAUUUUAAAUGAAUCCUUUUUGUUGUGCAUUUUGGGUCCUUUCCCUUUUUGUUCAACUCCAGUCUGUGACAACCUGUCUUGAAUUGUGUUUUUUUUAACAAACCAGCACUCUCAAGUAGCAACCUCUAGUCUAGAGACACAAAGCCAAUGUGGAAGUGCUAAAAAUGUCAGACUCUCCAGUGUAUUCAUUGCUGGCUGUAAAAAAAAAAUAACAACCCAGGAGCCACUUUUAUGGCAAAAAUAAACAUGUACAAUAUACAGUCUGGUUCAAAAAACAGUUUUGGUCUGAAUUGAGUCAUAUAGCUGUUUGCAAGGAGGCUAAGUGUCUGCUUCAACUCAGCUUCCUGUUGGGUAGACCAAAAGUUAGGAUGAGUCUGCAUUUCUAUAUGGCAACCAGAAUUAAUGAGCUUUAAAACCCAAUGAGUGAAAUCAUUGAGACUUUAUCAAUAUUAAACAAAAUCUAUGGGCAUUAAAUCUAUUUUUUUUUUUUUUUUUUUUUUUUACCAAGUACUUUCCCACUUAUUUCUUUGAAUGCAUGUUUUUGACCUUUUAAAGGAGCUAAAGUAUUAAAAAGUGGUGCUACUGGAGUGGUUUGCCUCACUAUCAAGUAUUCUCUGCACAUUGCAGGAGCCUCUUGCAUUAAUGAGCAGCAUGCUCUGGAUAAAAUACUGCGACACAGUAAAAUGCCUCGAUCUGCGGGUUACACAGGUAUAUUGGUUGCAUCAGUGUGUAAGACACUGUAAGAUGUCUUAAUUUUGUUCAUUCUGCUUUCUCAUGCAGGGCAACCUGUAAAUUAGCAGCUCUGUAUCUGCUGAAUGAGGAAAGAAGCAACUUUUUGUGAAAAUGAACAUCAUGCUCAUAAAGUAAGUUUUAAGGUUGCUUGCAGCCAACACAAGCUUAAAUACAAAUACACAAUUGUGACAACAUUUCAUCCUCACAUAGAUUGCUCAGAAAUGGAGCUGUGAAGGGUGCUUAUCUUGGAGAAAUAGCAGCUCUGAAACAGUUCAGACGUAAGCACCAGAAAGCCCCCUGACAUUACUUUGUUUUUCAUCAGAAUUUGAUCAAUGAAACGUCAGUUCACAAAAGUACAUUCACAGUUAUAACCCAACUGAGAUUUCGCCUUCACACCUUCAAAUAAAUAGAAAGACAACAGUAGAAGUCUUGUACCCUAGUCUCUGUCCUGACAGCCAAAGAACACUGAAAAACAUCUCUUGGUGAAAGUGCAGCUAUUCACAUGAGACCACAUACAAUUCACACAUGUUCAAGGGUUCAAAAAACCGGUAACACUCUUCUGAAGCACUGAAAACACAACAUACACAGACAUGAAAAAUAUGCUUUUCCUCAGGGUGAAAACACAUUCAGCUGUAGACGUAUGACCUGAGACACGUGCUGUGUUCAGUUGUGUUAGGCACUCCUUUUCAUUGAUGACCUUUUCCACAUAAACAAAACAUCAUCACUUCCAGGUGGGCCUAUUUUGUGCACCCACAGUGUGAAUAUUUACAAGUCAUUUCAGGAUUCUGAUGGAGUGAUUAUCUCCCAGUGUCCCUUUUCCAAUUACCAGGUCUGCUUUUAGAUGACAAAGGUCUUUGUAUGUGUUUUUCAUCCUGGAAAUAUCAACCUCUUCUCUGACACCUAAUAAAAACACAGCACAACUCUUUUAUUAUAAAUUAUGCUAUUAGAAACCAGUUGAAGACAGCACUUUUCCCUUUAACUGAGUGCACUUAAAAGAAGAGGACUGAACCAACACGUGGACUAUUACUCACUUAGUUGAGGCUUCGUGUAAUUAAGCAUCGGGCUCUAGGGGUGCGACUUGUAAAUGUUGCAAAGAAACUACCUCACAAGGAAGUUCUGUUUUGUAUGCAGUUUGCGCCUAUUGAGGAUCUCGUCUAUAUGGAGGUGCCUAAGUAGUUAACGCUCGGUGAUAACUGCUCUCUCAUAUAGACCCACUCGGAGCUUUCAGCAGAUUAGCCAUUGAUUCCCUGGUGGCUCAAUGCACAAGUGCACAGCCACAAUACAGCAGGAGAGUCACACAGUAAAGAUAAUCCCCUUUCAUGAGCCAUAGAAAAUAUUUGGAACACAACAUACAAUUCAGGGUAGAAAAAGACGGUUGUUCGUGCUUAAAGCAGGGUUACACUGUGCAUUUAUUAAUACAGGUACAUGGGCAAAAAAGCCAAAUAAAAAGACUUUUCCCCUGACUCUAUAGGCAUUGCUUCCUCCCUCUCUCUCUCUCUCUCUCUCUCCCUGCACAUGUCCAACCAUAUUCAACCCAUUCACACCAUCUCCUCCAUACACCUGUUCUUUCAGAAGCCCCCGACUGAUAAACAGCCAUCCUCCAGAGGGACUCAGUGUUAUAAUGUUGCAGGGAAGAUGUCAACCAGCAGACAUCUUUAUAUGUUAUCUUUCUCUAUCACAACUCCCCGGGUACUGAGCUGUCAUUUUUUCCACUGUGAAAGAAGACGACUCAACUGAAGGAUAGUCACACAACACAGACACAGGGAUGCGCAUCCACACAGGAAUGCACACACUACUCUGCAAGGGCGCACCUUGAGGGUGAAAAUACGGUUUCACAUCAGGAUGGGAUAGAGCCUGCAGAUGCAGAGCGUGCGGUUUACACUACCUGUGAUGUCUUCAUUAUGCCAAGUUUUAAAAUGGAGACACUCUGGCUUUUUCUUCAAAGAAAAUAUGAAUAUCUCACAUUCAAGGGAGAUACAAUUAAAAUAAAUAGUGCAGGAAUGAUAGGCAAGGUCCCUGAAUGCUUUCUCUAAGGAGACAAAGCUGUUUCAUCCUUUACCCUCCUUCUUUAAAAAAAUCUGCCAAAAGAAAUGAUCAAGUGGGAAUAAGAAUUUACAUACUUUUUGACACCAGACUUCAUAUUGUCAACUUAAAGAUUAUUAUUAGGUACCUCCUAAUAGAAAACAUGGCUAUCAUACACGCGCCCUUUUGCAUUUUGCACCGAUAGACGAUGAAGAAUGAGGUUUUUAAAUCUGUCUCAUCCAAUUUUAAUGAAAGCAAUUAGAUAAAACACAUCAUGACAACAUAUCUGAUAGAUGAGAUAGCAACCACAUGGAAGCUCUGAGCAUUGCACCUCUUAAUUCAGCCAAUAAAUGACUGUUUUCUUAAUAUGCCACUGUCACCAAAAAACACAUGAGGGACCUUAAAAUGUUCUCAUCUCUAACCACAACUGCAGAGGCAAAUAAAAGCUUGAAAGGCUCAGAAUUUAUCUACAAGUUAGCUCAACAAACUACAAACAUACUGUUUUCAAUCUCUGGCUAAUGCUGAGUAAAUCUAUUGUGCUGCAAAGCACAGAAGAAGAGAGGAAGUCACAUCUGGGGAUCAGAUUUCUUGUUUUAUAACAUAGCAAUUUGCCUGCUCUGAGAGGGCAGUAAAUCACCUCUAAUUGGGUCUCAUAUGCAGCAUGUAUUUAGACACUGCAACACCAACCCCUCCAAACCUCUUGCUGCGGCAUAAUAUUAAGUAAAAAGAGGAGCACAAAACCUCCAUACAUCAGAGAGCUUAAUGACUAAAAAGGGUUUUUUUUAUACAAAAGAAGCUGACUGUAUAUGUUCUGCAAAUCAAUUUUCAGCUGUUUAAUACAAGACUAAUUAGGCCUGUUACACUGAUGAAACCCACCAAGAACCUAUUUGGAUGUUUUUACACAGCUCCGCAUGAAAGGAUGUGACACAUAAAGAGAACCAAGAGAUCAAGAGAAUGAUUUCUAUACGAGGAGUUAUGAAACUGUCACUGUUUCCAUUUCUAUUUUAGGACGUACUUAGGCUUGUCUUCAUCACUGUGGAUUAACAGCCUCAGUGGGAUGCUAUUCCUCAUCACACAGGAGGGGGGCAGGUCACCCAAACAUUGCUAGAUCCAGAGAGGAGGGGGACAUAUGUUAUGUAUCAACAUAUUCUUCCCAUAAUUUGAAACCAUUACAAUGAUCAGAGGAUAGAGGGUUACAGUCAGUCUGCAAGGAGAUUUAAAUACAUACAAUUUGCAAUUUCUUAUCUAUAGAUAUCCACUGUAGAUAAACGUAAGGGGAAUUUUCCCAUCAGCUUAUUGAUGCAAAGCCUUUAAAUGAUCCUUGGUUAGGGUGGCAAAUGAGGGCACUGAUGUGCUGUCAUUACUGGACUAGGAUCUGUGGACAUGAUAGUCAGCUUAUUUGUCGUUAGAUCUAUUUUGGCUCUAAGAUGCCUAUUCAACAUUUUGAUAGACACAAACUCAGGUUGUUGUCAGACUUCUCGGUGAACUCCUGGAAAUUAUGUCUUCUCUGUUUUGAACCAGGCUCUUGCAAAAACAGUUUGUUUGAUUUUUAUGUAGCUAGAGGGCAUUAUUUGAUAUUUCGCUUUCUUAAGACAUUGACUUUUUAAGAGACAACAAAAUUAAAGAAUUCAAACUAGAAAUUAUUGAAAAGCACCACAACUUCUUAGAUAUUUAAUUUUCUGGGUGAACUGUUAAUUAUAAACAGUCUCUCAAUUGAUGUAACAUUCAAGCCAACAUACUGGGGAGCUUGAAGCGAAUGAUCCAGUCCAAAUGACCCAACAUCCAGUGACAGAUAGUCCAUCACAUACUGACACAUAACCAAAAAUGUAAAAUCUGGACUGCUUGGAUGAAGCAGUCACAUGGUCUGAAAGCAGAAUUUAGCUAAAGUCUGUUUUUAUUCUGUAAAAUAUUCCUAUAGUUGAGGUAAACAACAAUAUUUAUGGCAGUUGCAGCAACAAACAGGAUUUCUGUCCAACUUGGAAAACCUGAAAAACCACUGACUGAUUUUCUAGUCAAGAACAACACAUGGAAAAAAGCAAAAUAUCCUGAAAAAUCCUGUGCAGUCCUUAAAGAUAAUUCAAACAUUGUCCUAAACAUCUAUCUAAUCUUUGACAAUAAUUCAGUAUAAACAUCUGCAGGUGUAUUUGCAUUAUUCUAUGACUUCCACAACAUAAUCGUAAACAAGCAUUGUGUCCUGGAAAAGAUUUUGCUUUCUUCCGACUUGGUAACUGAAACGCUGGUAACUCAGGUGUGACGUCAUUCCCAGCUCGGGUUUCUGACUUCCGAGGUAGCUCGAACACAGCAUAAAUUGCACUGAGGUAAUUUCAACUAGUGAGAUCUCUGCAUCAAUCAAAACCACUUGUUAUAGCUGUGUGUGAGUUUUCCCCCCUUUUGUCUCCCCUAGAUGCCCAGGUGAAAUCACUGAUUGACAAUCAGACUCACCUGGUGCAGAGAAUUUAAAGGCCCAGAGCUGCCUGCUGUCUGCUGCAUCUCAUUUGUGUUGUGGGUUCUUUGCGUUUAGUUAAUUUGUUCUUUUGUUACAAUAAAUCACUUGUGAAACUUUUAAUGGUAUUUUGUUACUUUAAUGGGUCAAAAAAUGUGGAUAGUUGUUAGCCCCACAGGGCCGCCUCCAAGUGGGGUGUAACACACUUUUAUCUGACUCCUACUGCAGCUGUUUUUCUUGGCGGAAUACUUGCUAAUGGAAGCACUAAACAUCAGCUGGCAUCAACUAAAAGACAAAAAAAUGCAUAGAGGACAGUAGCAUAAAAGAAAAAUAUAAUGCUGAUCUAAGUUUAAGUUAUGACCAAACAAAUGAAGAGUUGUCUGAAAUGUUCUGUAUACAGGCCUAGAUUUUAGUUUAUGGUCAGCUGCAGCUCUAUGCAGAUGCCAUCCCUCAGAAACACUUACUACAGGGCUUGUUUUUCUUGGUGCAUGACAACAGUCAGCAUAUUUUGCAGUUAAUACUGCACACUGAGAAUUUUCUCCACCCACACAGACAGGGCAGUUUCUGAGGAUCAGGGAGAUGGAUAAACCAAGGAUGCAUUUAUUAAUGUUAUUUGUCAAAGAAAACCUCCAAGAACCUCAUAUUUCUUACAGUGUAGUAGGAUUGAGAAAUUGUCCCUUUUUUCUCACAAAAUACUCUCCUUUUCUCUCUCUAAUGCUUUUGAGUAUCUGUAAGCAUUAACACAGAGAACAGAAAAACAAAUUUUAAUGCUGCUGAGUAAAUGUUUCAUUCCUCGGAAGUAACAUCAAAGCGGUGUACUACCAUUGAUGCCCAAGCUGCUGCUGCUGCUGCUGCUGCUGCUGGUGCCACAGGGAAAGACUUAAGUGGAGAUGAAUUCUUUCAGAUACAUUUCUCAAACAUGCCCGCACCAGAAACUCCCCAAACUGUACAGCAAGAAGACACAUAAACAUUAGUCACAGGAGAAUUUGUUAUUUGAGGUUACGUUGCUCAUAUAUUUGCCUCUUUUGUUGUUGAACAGGUUUUAACAUCCCAGCUAAAUUAACAUUGGCAGGUGCUUUCAAAAACAACAUGUCUUGCAGCUCUUAGCCCUUUUUUGUCUACAAGCUAUGAAGAGCUGCUGUGGCUCAGGGGUAAAGUUGGUUCUCUCUCAGUUAGAAAAUUGGGGGGUUGAUCUGAGGUCCUUCUGUCCAUAUGCCAAAGUGCUUUUGGGCAAGACACUCAACUCUAAUCUGUUCCUGGUGGCUGAGCCAUCAAGUAUCAGUAUAGGAUAGGUUAACAUUUGGGAUGCCACAAUUACUGACUGAAUUCUGGACCAUUUAUUCCGUAUGUCAUGCUAUAUAUAUUCUUUUUUUUAUCAUAACUUUUUAUGUCAUCAUUUAUUCCAUGCAUUGUAUUUCUCUCUGAAGUGGCUGUUUUUGCAUGUACCUGCAAGACCAUGCCCUGAGAUGAGGAAACUUCUCCCUCGAGUAAAUAUCCAAUCACUAUGCACCAAAUAUCUGUGCCAUCAGUGUGGGCAGAGUCACUGUGGUCACAUCCAACGAAUGGCUGACCAAAUCCCAGGGCACUGAGUGUCAAAAAAAAAGAAAGUCUCUAAUGCCAGAUUUUAAAGGAAAAGUGCAUGUUUUGGGUUUUUAAAGUCUGAGUUGUCAGUGGUCACUUUUCUUUAUGCUCCAGAGACAAAAACAUCAUAUUUUUUUUCCCACCUAAGAUGGAUGUGACGAGCAUGUGUUAAUUAGUACAGAAGAAAAGUGAUUGUAGGAAUGGAUCUGCUGUGUUCAUACAUUUCCUGAUUUAUCACAGCCUUCCCUGUGUUUGUCUGCCAGACAGCUUUGAGCCUUAUGAUCCUGUCAGCAUCUCCUGUUGUGUGAUAUUCUUUGGGACAAAACAAAUGAGACGACUUGUAUUCAUUGAACAUGGAGCAUAAACCUGCUGUUGGCUUGUUGAAAAGCCAGGAUAAGGCCAGUGCAAAGGCAUGAAUCAAGGCUGCCUUACUGGCAGGGGCUCAUCCGUUGGGUGUCUGGAAUACUAAACUGGGCAGACUGGUGCUACAGAAAGACCCCUAAGCUCAGCAGACAUGAGCAUAAUGUUUGGCCAUGAACUGUGUGAGACACUGUCAUUUCAGCAGACAGUGAGGAACUGUGUCUUCUGGAUGAACACAAGGCUUUGAGAACAAAUCUGAAAAUAAAAAACAUUAAAGUGAACAGAUGCAGAAUCGAGAGAGGCAGAGGUGAAGGACAGCGGCACCAACCACUCAGGGCGCCAACAGUUACAUAACUAAGUGCUGAAUGAUUAUGUUAGCGUUCGGGCGAUGCGGUUCGAUUUCCAAGCCUUGCAGGGAUUACUGAUGGGUCUGUCAUAUUUUUGGCAACAUCAUUUAAUCUAAUAAAGGCUGUUUCAUUAAAUGAGCAGGAUGAGACAAGAGGGGCACUGUUGUGUAUUUCAUGUGCAUGUGUACAUGAACAUUUUCAUGUGUUUUGUCUAAAAUAGCAGCCUAAUAGCACUGAAUCAGUGUCGUACAGGAUCAUGACACUCAUCACAUUACAAUGUGCAGCUCUUAUUUAUGACAGGAUGAGAAUUAGUUCACAUGUAUUCACAAAGGCACAGACAGAUGCAGGCGUACAAAACAACUAAACUCAUCUGAAGCGGCUUUCAUCAACCAUCAGACAGACACAAGUAAAUACAUCAGACUUUUCAUUAAGCUGAAAAGUUAGAAAUGAAAACUACAUCAUGUUCCGUUGAUGAAAAAUGGUUAGAAAGUUAAUCUGUUUUGAUGGCGAUUGCACAUUUACCUUUUUUUUCUUUCUUAACACAAAUUGUGUAUUUCAUUUUUCUUCAACACUGUCAUCAUGCGGCAGGAAUUAAUCAUUUAGCAGCACUUGUGUUAGAAGGAGACCUAGCCAUUUAUAGCUACAAAUGGCUUUAUUUUUGUAUCUGAGUGGGGUGUGGGAUGCCUUACCCAGCAUUUAAGGUGCAGAGAAUGCACAGAGUACAAGAAGAGAGAAGUCAGCAGAUAUGUAACACAGAGAGAUUGCAUAUACAUAAUGCACAAGGCAAGAAAUACCCAGAAAUGUAUGAUUUAUAAGUGGGGAUGUAAAGGUACAUGUAUUCAUACUGAACAAUUGUGUACAGCCCGUUCAGUUCGGUGCAGCUAUGUGCUGGUUCAAAAGUGCAAAGGUAAAGGUAUUUCAAAUCCAAGGAUCACACAUGGACAAAAACUGGAGCUCAACACACACAGAACCAGCCAUGCAGGGAAUUAGAAGAUUUAGUCAACAUAUCAUCUCGAAAUAUGUUGACUUUGAUUUUGAUUUAAGCUGUGACUGAUGCCUAUAGUGUAGUAAACUGCAGCAUGUAGUGCUCCUAUGUCUGCAAAAGUUUGUGUGUGUUAUCCUGUCCCUGCAGAGCACCAACAAGCAGCCAGCAGAGGAGCUGGUGAGAGAGAAGCUGCAGCACCAAAACAGGGUAAAAUAAGAGUAGUUACUUCUAGUUGUGUUAUGUUUGAUGUUAUAAGAAAUGAGUCUAAGGCUGAACAGUCAAUGCUGCACUUAAAGUAUAAAAGUUCUUUGUGGUUCUAAUAAAGGAAAAUAAAAGUAUUUGUUGCAAUACCGAUAAUGCACCAAACUGAAACUUCAACACUGAGAACUGCAACAAACCAAAGUCUUGUUCAUCAUAGCAGGGCAGGUGGUAGCAGAAGCAGCUGUCUGAAUCAGUAACUGUACGAACAGCUGCAUGCGGACCAGAGAGAGCCCAUCCUGGACUGACCUGAAAUUGAUAUCAAAAAAGUAUGCAAAGGUAACAGGUGUCAUACCCGAAUUAGAGCUCAGUAUGCACAGAGUGUCACAGCUGAUGUUAAUUUGUAAUUUACAGAACCAAUAGGAUCUGCUGCAAACACAUUGGUGCCAGAUAUUGUAACGCACUAUGGUCAACAUUAGGGUAGGGAGAAAAAAAUCGAUUCACAUAAGUAUCGCAAUUUUUUAUUUUACAUUUUUUUAAAUCAAUUCUUUUUUAAAUCAAAUUUAAGAAUAAAUUUGAAAAACUGACUUACAAGUGAUGUGUAUUUUUGGGGAAAUAUGGUUCCUGGAAUAGUCAGUAGACAAUCAUAAUCAUUUAACUGUUUCACUGGUGUUAAAAAUGCAGACUAAAAAUUGAGAAAAUCGACAAUUUCGUAGAAUCGCGAUUUAAAUCGAAUCGGCAACCAAAAAUUCAUAGAAGAAUCAAAUUGUGGGAAAAGCAUAUCGUCCCAGCCCAAGUAAACAUGGUAUCAUUGAGUCUGUGGAAAACAAUAUCAAAUUUGUUCACUGAGUGUGGCUAACACAGCUCUAGUGGGGAUGAAACACUAGAAUUUUUAGUGCAAAUUCAAGCUCAGUCAGUUAAAUCUGUUGAUAAAACGGUUGAUAUUAAAACUAAUGUUGAAUAGUGUUUAAAACAUACAGCAUUGGGAAAAGUUAGGAGACCACUCUAAAUUUUCCUCUAAUCAGUGUGUCUAAGAGCAGGGAGCAAUUCUGUUCCAGUUAUUCAACCUAAUGAGGUAUUGAUUUGGUGAUCACCUAUCAAGCCAUUGAACAAAACAGAGCUGCUUGAAUUUUGGCCCAAAAGGGACAAAACUUCAUGUGCCAAAGGCAUGAAAGCUGUAAUUAAAACCAGGAUUAUUUCAGCACUUAUUGGCUUCUGAGCUUGCCUUGAGUUAAAACAUUAUUAUUCAGUUGGUAAAAAAUUAAUAUAAAAUCAUUUUUCUUCGUUUUACUUCGCCUGAAACUACAAAGGGCUAUCUUAAUCAGGUGCCAUUUUCUCCAGAAGUUGAUACUGAUAUUGAUCAGCUAUAGGCCUAUAAGCUCAAAACCUAACACAGCCAUCAUUCACUUGAACCCACAUUGCAGUAAAACUCCUGAAGUAGCUGCUCGCUCCAACAGAGUGCGAUAAUAGCUGCCAUAUGGCUAAAUCUGCUCAGUGCAAGUUUUUUUUUGUUUUUACAGAAAAGAAAAAUCAUAUAAACUAAAGAGGUAUAUUUAGGACUUUCAUCUUUUUGGGUUUCUUCGCACCUUCAUUUGUUGAGAAGGAAAAUCAUCUGAAGAUCACUUCCACAUGGUCAAACUUUCAGCUGCCAGGUUUCUAUGCCAAUGAUAAUACCCCCAAUGUAAUUCAACAGACAAACCCGAGGCCUUCUCCUCCUGCUGCUUCUGCAGGAAAAACUCCAGCUAACUAGCAGACUUCAAUCAACUCUCGGGCUGCCGCUGACUCCUUAAAUGCUGCUGUCAGACUUUCUAGCCUUGAGAGGUAUGCUGAAGUAUUUUAUAACAGCCAGUAAGCAAAACACAAAAUCCUCUUGAAAAAGAGGAAGGUGGCAGUCGCUUAUAGAGAUGUGGCUGGUAUUGAGGAAAAAUAAAAGACAUUUAAUUAACAACCUCCCAGACUAAAAGGAAAAUAUUUCUUCAAGACAUUUCUAUUCCCACCGGUCUAGUCAUUGUUAUGGCAUGCUAUGUCUUGAGAAGUGGAGUCAAAUCAGGUUGCUGAGCAGAUGGGCGGUAAAGCCUUUGUAUACUAUUCUCAGACACACCCCUGAGGAGCCCAGUCCAUCAUCUACUGAUCUAUCUCUGCUUGGCCCUCCCUCUCAUCAAGAAAAUGAUACCCUUAAUUGGAAAUUGUGUUAAUUCUCCGACAUGUCUGAAAUUCUAUCUCCCCCUAACUCCCUCUAAAUUGGAGACACUCUUGACAAAUUUAGGGUGGCAGCUCCAAUGAUGCAUAUCCUGGUUAAAUACUCUUUAUCUUCACCCACUUUCUCUUGUUCAUGCCUCUUUAUCAACCGAGUGAUUAAUGUCUACAAAACUCCCGAGCAUGCUGGUCCACCCAAAAUAAUCCAUGGUGGGAAAUUAGAGUGAGCAGUGCUGAGUUAUUCAGUGUCAUGCAUGAAUGAGAGUUAUGUUUUGAACUAAAGAUAAUCUUGAGGAUGACAAGCACAGUAGCAUCAUGGACUACCUUCUGUUCAUGAAGGCCACCUCUACAAAAUUAAUAUUAAUGUAACUACACUGAUGAGCAUGGAGCAGCUUCAAACACUCCUCUGUGUCUAAAUGUUAUUCAUACCCUUCACUCGGCAAAGACUCUGUUCCUUUUGACCUGUGAUGUCUGAUUAAACACAAAAACAGCGUCAUUAAGCUUUGAGCUGGGAUUCUUUUAUCCAUGAUACAAACAGAUAAACAAUGUGAACAGACCCUCACUAAUAAGUACGAAUAAAUGAGAUCAUUGUUUCUGAUAGUUGAUGCAUUUUAAAAGUCAGAGCUGCAUGUUUGAAUAAUGUGGUCUCUGAGGAGAGCAAACACUGUGCAUGCAUAGAAAGAGUUAAAUCAUAACACAUCCAACUGUUUUUGUGCAUUUGGAAGCAGUGAGAUACCAGUAGCUGAUGGCUGUGGUAGAUGCAUCUGUUGUGAUAUUAGACUCUAAUUAUAGAAAAAAAAUAGAUUAUAUGGCGUGGAAGAUGCAGGCCUAGUUUCAGAGCUGCUGUUAGGAUUAUUGUCUCAAAUGUUACCUCUAAAAGAAACCUAAAACAGUCCUUGCCAGGUCUGUGCAGCGUUUUUAUCAGCACUGAACCAAAGAGAGAGGAGCAGCAUGAACGUGAAUAUUAUUGAUUUCUACCAAGGUUACCUGUUGAGCUAGAAAAAUACUCAAUCAAAUAAGUGCAUUGCAGAAAAGCUGUUAUCCGAAUAUGUACUGAAAAUCUUGCUGUGUUGAAAUGCAAGAGAUUUGGCUGCAUGAUGUCGAAAAACAACUCAAGUUUAAUUUUUUUUUGCAGGCUAAAAAUAAUAAAGGAUAUUUCCCCAGGUACAUGCAGUGAGUUACUCACAUUGAAAAACAAUAAACAGUAAUUGUAUUCAUUGUUUGAGUAACCACCAUAACCUACUUACACCACAGCCUCUAAUACUAGCAUAAACAAACAAAGGGGGCACCUUAUCUGGGAAAAACAACACGGUUGUCCCUCUCUCAUUGAGGCAACAUUAUUUCUGAGAGGUAGAGUUGAUUCUCAAACUAAAUACACAACUGUAGAAGGGCUGCGCUCAUAACAAAGCAAAGAGCACAGACAUUUCUUCCUAAAUAUAUCCACUGAAUAGUAUCUGAGUCAUAUCUAAAAACAGACCUAAAUCUGUAUUUUACUUUAUUUACCAUUCUUGAUUUGAUUUGCCAAAUGUUUCCUAAAAUAUAAGUCUAUAAAAUGUGAGGAUAGUUGAAAUAUUAUCAUCGCAGGUACUCUUGUUUGAUGUUUUUACACCUUAAUAUGAACAAAAUAUAGGCUGACAUUCAUUGAUCAAAGCUUCAGCAGUAUUCAAAAUGCAUUUGCCUCAAAGAUUAGACAAAUUGUUGAUGCUUUUGGUCAGGCUGUCCAGACCAAAUGCAAAUUGGACUGCCCAUUUUUGGAUAUACAGCACAUUUGAACAGUCCAGUGCCAGGUUUGGCUUUGAUUUUUCCCUGGGCUGAAUCGUGUGGACAGUCAGUCCUACUUCGCAGUUUUGGACCAGAGUGAGCCCGGUUUAUAGGCCGGUUUAACACAUCAAUCAUGACAAGUCUGGCAGUCAAAAGCAUUGAUUUUAAGACAAUUUCAGCUACUUGGCAAUAUAUGUGCAUCACAUUUAAAAAGAUUCAAGUUGAAAGUAGUCAAAGUGGUCCUUAACAGUUUACUGACAGUACAACUGAAUAACAUUUGUACUUUGUGAGCCCAACGGUUCAACAAACGCUACAUGUGUUCGCCUUACUUGCUGCCAUUUUCUAGUUUAGCAGGCUAAAACCUGUGUGGCUGUUUAGCAUAUGAGUGAUGAAAUAUGAUAAAAGGAGUGUAGAGAGCGCUGAUGAAUAUGUGUGGCUUUGAAGCGAUUGUUGUGUGUGAUCGUGUGCAGAUGAGAGCGUGGGAGGUGUCGUGUAUGGAUGUGUGUCUAUGUGUGUCUGAAAGUGUUUGCUGAUAAGGGUGACAUUUGUGGCACACAGUUAAGAAUGUAACCACCUGAAUCUGGGACUUCUUUCUCUGAACCCUAAAACAUCAACCAGGAGAGGUUUAGUUCGUCCUUCUUCCACCGCAGAGCCUGUGUUCGAGUGUGUGUGCGAGCGCUGAAGUGAGGGCAUCGCUCUCCACACACUCGACAGGAUUUCAGCAUCCUGCACAUUCACCGUGGAUUCAUCACCUUAGCAACCAGUCGAUUGAAAGAUGAUGAAUCAUGCCAAAGACUGCUAAUUUCUUUGCAGUUGUCAAACAUGAACAAUAGGCGGUAAGAUGGAGUCAGAGAAACGUCACCAGAGGAUGGUGUGUGUGUGUGUGUGUGUGUGUGUGUGUGUGUGUCCGUGUGAACAUUAAACAUAACCAUAAAGAGACAGGAAGGAGGAGAGGCAAAAUCAAGGUUAAUCCGAGGAUAAUGGUGGUCAGACAGAACACAGAUGUACUACUUGCUGUUCUUACUGACCAGAACAAAUAACUCCUCAUUAGCACAGCAUGAGUAGUUUAACAGUAUACUUAUAGGUUGUUAUAUACUUGUAUUUUCUUUGAUAAGACCUGUAACAUUAACCUUUGAGUUGAACAUUUCAGGGGCUGUACCGCGUGUGGUUGCUGUCUGGUUUUGGACCUUUAAAUUAAAAAAGAAAACUUAUCAAAGACGACUGCUUUGUCCAGUGUCGUGACAGGAAACAGCCAGUUCUCUGGUUUGGAAACUUAUCAAUCCAAUCAACUCUGAAAGAAGAACCGAAUGUCAGCUAAUAAGAGUGGGCUUAGUGAUCCAGAAAAUGGAGAUGAAGUUGUAUUCGGGCUGUGUUAAUUAAACUGGUAAAUAACCUCUCAGCCUGAGCAACAUGUACCUAGCACAGAUGUGCGAGUGUUUACCUGCAGGGAGGAUUGGAGGCUGGUGGUGCUAGCUCUGCUAACAUUAGCCACAUUUGACAAAACAAACUGUCAUCCAGUAUUGAUGAAAUAACUUGGAUUUAAAUCCUCUACUAAAAGCAGAAAGGGACUAUUUAACAGUAAGGUUAUAGAUCGAACACUCACCCCUCCCAUCUUCCAUUAAGUACUUUUUCAGCAACCUCCUACUAAAUACAAAAAGGGAAAUAGUUUGUCCAUUCUGUGCUGCUGUUAAACCAGCAUUUUAAGAUGGGGGCCUGUAGAAGUGAUGCUGAUAUUCAAGUGGUUAUACAUAAAUUCAAAUAUGUGUACAAGUAGUCUUCUGUGCUAUCUAUGGGCAUAUUUUGCUCAAUGCUUCCUAUCCUCCCUGUUUUUUGGUUAAGUUUGGCACCAGAUAUUUGCUGAUACUUCAAACUCAUUUCAGACAGUACUGUUAUUGUUAUUCGACCAACUCUUCUCCCUGUCACUAUAUGAGCCAAAACUAUCAAAUCCCCAUGGCUACACAUAAGUGUCACCAAAAAAAUUACUUUAAAAUCAUGUAGAUCUGGUAAGACGGAAAAUUGAAUCCAAUUGAAUCCAAAAAUCAGCAGAGCGGAGGCAAUAUUGGACAGAAGACAAGAAAAGAGUGUAAUGACUUGAUAAUUCUUUCUGGGAUGAUUAGCUCCACACAGAUAGGUUUCAGAGGCCCAAAAAAACAGCUUGAUAAAUCCUCUAUUCCCUGAUAAUGUCUGACUGGAGACAAGAGUGGAUGGUGCCGAUGUGUUAUGAUUUGAUUUCCUGUAGAUCUCCAGUGAAUGGGACGAUGUUUCUAACCUCAUCUUCUCUGCGCUUUAGAGUGAGUGGUCUCUUAUCACCCCCUGAGUGCUAACAAACCCACCUUCACACUGUAAUAGCAGUGAUGUUGUAAAACACCAGAGAAGCGUGGAAAUGAAUCUGGAUUCAGAAGAAACGUCACUGUUACAAAUAAUGUAAAUCAUGUAUAAAGGAGGAGAGGCCUGAAAUCCAGCCAUCUUGAAACAGUGGGUCUAAUUCAGACACAAGGUGCAAAUAUUGCCUCAGUCGUUUGCUGUCGAAGCAGUAAUAAUACAAAACAUGAACAUGUCAUGACAAGCGAGUGGAGUGAAGGUUAAGAGCUCCCACUGCUGGUGAAAAUCCUGAAAGCAUGAGCAGCACCAGAGUUUAUUUUUCAGGAGGCUUUGAUUUAUUUACAGUCCUGAUGUGAACUUUAAAGUGUAUUGUUUUCGUUAUACACACAGGCCUGUUGACUUUUUGCUGUGCGAUUAUAGAUUAUAUGAUAUUAAUCAUUAACUAAAACACUAGAUAACAAAUGACAAAGUACUGCUUCAAUGAGUUCAUCAAUCUACUCAAAUAUGAAUCGUAUAAUUAUGCAGCCCUACAACAAAUCAAUCAACAACAAUCAUAAAUCAUAUGGUGUGCAGUUUGGCAAAAAGACCAAAAAGGUCAUUUUCAGGGCCGAGUUUUAUUGAUUUGAGAGUCAAACUGGGAAUGAAUCUUAACAUCCUGCACACCAGCUGAAGUUAUUUUUGCCCUUCCAGCCUGCUGAUGUAUAACCCUCGGUGUGAAAUGUAAGUGGGAGCGGGUGGUGUGUGUGUGAUGUGCCAUGUCCUGGUCACAGUGUUCCCUCCUCUCUACCGGUCACUCAGCAAGAGAGUUCCUGUGGGCAGAGUGAGAGAGCAUCACACUCAGCCCACACAUUUGUCCUCUAACUACAGUCAUCUUCAAAUGCAAAAUAAAGAUCCACUCAGGAAGUGAAGUUAUGGCUUCUUGAAGUUUAAGUCUGACAAUAACAGACCUGCACUUGAUUGAAGAAAAAUUGAAGAAUUCAAGACCACAAAAGUAAAAAAUCAAAUACUUGAGGAAGAUAAAGUUCUGUAUCCAAACAGUAACUUCUUCUGUAAUUUAAGAACUCAUGCUGGGAAUCUUUGCGGUGGGUAUGUCAGACUUUGAACAAUAUUUCCUUGAGACAAUAUCUACUGUACACAUUGGUGCACCUGCAGGCAGUACAUCUCCCGAGUUGUUCACUUUGGAGAGAAAAUCAUACACUAUUCAUAAGGAUGAGGCUGAAUUCAUGUGUAUUAUUCAUAAGAGUGGUCUUGUCUAAGGCAUGUAUAAACUACAGAUGGAGACUUUUAGAUACAUGCCGUCCUUUUUUGUCGAGAAACUCAGGAAGGAAGUUAAAAGUAGAAAUGUCUUAUUUUCCAUAGGACCAAAACUACUUUCUUAACACAGUUAGAUAACAGCAGGAGAAAGAGACUUUGUUGAUUGGGAAUAAAAAUGUAACUCCAGUCAUAGAAGAUAUUCAGAUCAUCAUUAUUAUUACAAGUCCAAAAGCUACUGGUAGUUCAAUGUGCUUUUGCCAACCUACUGGCAAGGCCCCUUCAAAGAGGCAUGAAAACAAGUCUGCAAAGUGCAAGAAAAUCAAAGAUCUUCUGUUCAAGUUUGCAAUAGUGUUUGUAUCAGACAUUUUAAUAUUUAAAUUCUGGAAAUAUAGCUGCACAGGCAAAGUCUCUAAGAAGGUACAAUAGCAAGAAAAAUGGGCUGAGGAGUUAUGCUACAAAGAGACAAAGAGCCUUCGUGCUUAUUUUUAACUCUGCUAUUUAUACUUUGUGUGAAAAUCCUGGUAAAGCAACUUAUAGCUGCAGCUAUUUUUGGGUGAUGUUGAACAUUUUGUCCCCUGAACUGUGGAGGAGUACAGUCAUGAAGUGGCAGAAAAUAAAAUAGUUAAAUGUAGCACAAGCAGGUAAAAGUAAACAUGAGAAUAACUCUCAAGUAUAUGUCUGUGUGUCUGUGUGUGUGUACUUUUGUGCUAUAAAGGAAACAAAAUAAAACAGAAUUCUGCUAAUCUGCAACCCAAAUUAUUGCAAGCAGAACCAUCUUCACAUAAACUGUUCUUCUAUUCAUAUCAGACUUUGGUUGUUUAUUUGUUCAUGAUGGGGAUUUAUUUUUACUUCCAGCAGAGGGCAGCAGAGCACCUCUGCACUGUCAACAAUGUGGCGAGAUUUAGCAGCUUAAUCACAGGUUUAUGCUGAUCUUCAGUAUGUAUGAAUCCUUCACAGCAUGUGGAUGAACAUUUGCCACACAGAUUGUAACUAACUCUCGAGUCUUUGCUAGAAAUGCUCUCCAUCUUGUCCACAACUUCUUUUUUGGCAUUUGAGACUUUGGGGUUAUCAUACAGUGACAAGUGUACUGCACAGCAAGAGGUAUUUUACAAUGGAUGGUAACAUUCAGAUAGCAUAAACUAAGUACAAGACCUGGAUUAUAUGUAUAAAAAAAUAAAUGAAAACAUGUUGCAGUUCUUAUUUAGACUUAAUCAUUGACGCUGAGGUAACCAAACUUCAGAUUUGGGGUAUUAUGUUCUGUUUCCUUUUUCAGUGUGUGACCAUAGACUGUAUGUGUAUGUAUAUGUAUGUAUAUAAAGGUAAUGGAAACUAACACAUGUCUCCUUGUCCUUAGCUAAAUAUUUGCUUCUUACAAUGCUCAUUCAUUCAUUUUGGAAGAUUAUGAAACAGUUCCUUUGAAUAAAGUGACACACAAGAUCCAUUUUCCUGUGACAAUCUGACCUGGCCUUUGUCACAGCAGUAGCCUAUGGGCUGAAAUAUGUGCCACCAGAAACUGAAUCAUUUAAAUUUGAGUUUGAAUCGCUAAACUUGAGUAAUUGAAUUGAAAAGUUGAAUUUAAAUUACAUAAUUUUAAAUUGUAUUGUUUAAUUUGAAUUUGAAUUGCUAAACUUGAAUAAUUGAAUUGACAGGUGUGGCUACCCGAGCCGGAAACCCGAUUUGUACUGCGCAUGUGCGAAACGUACGUCACUACCUCUACUCGCCUUUACUGCACCUGUCCACAUAUUAACAGGAGUAAACAAACAAUCGCUCUCAUCUUGUCCUAAUCGCUUUUAAUAUUUUAUUGUGGCUGAAGUUGCCUUUUUAGUCGCUGGAAGAAGAGGGACAGAACGGUCAUCUUCCCUGAGCUGAAGCUCUAAGGUAAGAGGACUUUCUUUGUAUCACAGCUGUAGUUUCAUGUGUCAGUGCUGAGAUUUAACAGCUGAGAGUUUAGAGAAAAUUAAUAGUAGAGAAAAUUAGCUGACACUGUUACUCACAGAAACCUCUCUGCAGCCUCAGUAGUAUCACAAUGAAGGUUGCAACAUGAUCUAAAGGAGCCAAGACUCUGUGCUUAUGUUUAUAAUGUUAAAUAAAUUCUCUUUAGCUACACCAGGCUCAAAAAAGGCUUAAUGAUAUUGUUUUGCAUUUAAUGAAGUAAUGCAAACAAAAUACCAGAAACAAAAUUGCUAAACUUGAAUUAACUUUAUUUACAUAAUUCAGACCAGACUAACUUUGGUGCAGUAAAAUAUUAUUACAAGAAACUUUUGGUUUUUUUUCUAAUCGAUUAAAAAAUAAUAAUAAAAAUAAACAAUAAUAAAAAAAUUCAAAAAACACAGCAAUUACCUGAAAAUACCACCAUUUAGCCUGAUUAUUCAGCUGACCGAUUAACAAAAGUCUGGAACAGAAACUUUUUUCAAGAAUAUGUUUCAAAAGCAGCAUUUACAGGAAUAUCAACAUCCAACAGAACUGAAACAAGACUGCACAUGAUAGGAGACUAAAACAUAUCUGUAGUGAUGAGUAUAAAUAGAUGUCGGGUAUGCUUCACCUUAAAAACUACAAAUUUCUCUUGUGCUUUUAGGACUCUACACCAGACCAUCCCUGGAGUCAGGUGGACCACCAUCUUCAUGUGGCGGUGUUCCUACCUCA
Molecule: long non-coding RNA, 19003 nt
Filed under: Xyrichtys novacula (pearly razorfish)
Lineage: Eukaryota; Metazoa; Chordata; Actinopteri; Labriformes; Labridae
Source: RNAcentral